Molecule: ribosomal RNA, 1891 nt
Filed under: Myxobolus sp. 2 PBS-2015
Lineage: Eukaryota; Metazoa; Cnidaria; Myxozoa; Bivalvulida; Myxobolidae
Description: SSU rRNA
Rfam family: Eukaryotic small subunit ribosomal RNA
Source: RNAcentral
UUCACACAUUAUUAAAAGUGAGACUGCGGAAGGCUCAGUAAAUCGGUGAUAGUCUAUUCGAAAGUGACCGAUUGGAUAACCGUGGGAAAUCUAGAGCUAAUACAUGUGUUAAAGGUAGUUGCUGGCAACGGUAAUUACUAGCAUUUAUUAGACAAAACCAAAUGCUGGCUGGUUGACUGAGCCAGUCAGCAGGGUGAAUCUAGAUAACUGAGCUGAUCGCAUGGCCUUGAGCCGGCGAUGUUUCGAUUGAAUUUCCGCCCUAUCAACUUGUUGGUAAGGUAGUGGCUUACCAAGGUUGCAACGGGUAACGGGGAAUCAGGGUUCGAUUCCGGAGAGGCAGCCUGAGAAACGGCUACCACAUCCAAGGAAGGCAGCAGGCGCGUAAAUUACCCAAUCCAGACAAUGGGAGGUGGUGACCAGAAGUACUGAGUUGUGGGCUAUGCCUACUAAUCUCGGAAUGAGCAUAAAGUAAAAAUGUGGUCGAGUAACAACUGGAGGGCAAGUCUGGUGCCAGCAGCCGCGGUAAUUCCAGCUCCAGUAGCAUGUCGUAAAGUUGUUGCGUUUAAAACGCUCGUAGUUGGAUCAUAUGGCGUCGGCCAGUUAAUUUGUGGGUGUAGGACAGUAACUCACCCGGCUACGUGGUGCCGAUUAAGUUUGGUGUCGCUGUGUUGGUGUGAAGUCUGCAUCACUAAUUUUGUGCUGGACGGCGCUACUUGCAUGUGAGAAUGGCGAUUGGCCUUCAAUGAGUCGGUCGUUGUAUCUUACAGAGUGUGCCUUGAAUAAAUCAGAGUGCUUAAAGCAGGCUAGUGCCUGAAUGAUACAGCAUGGAACGAACAAAAGUGGUUCGUGAACCGGUGGGACGGAGACUACCACUGGUUCAUAUCACCAACCGCUGUGUACGGAUGUUGGUUUCCGUAUCAGGGUGAUGAUUAAAACGAGCGGUUGGGGGCAUUGGUAUUUGGCCGCGAGAGGUGAAAUUCUUAGACCGGCCAAGGACCAACAAAAGCGAAGGCAUUUGCCAAGACCGUUUCGAUUGAUCAAGAACGAUAGUGAGAGGUUCGAAGACGAUCAGAUACCGUCCUAGUUCUCACCGUAAACUAUGCCAACCCGGGAUCAGUUCUGAGCUCUUUACAUGCUCUAGGUUGGUCCCCCUGGGAAACCUAAAGUUUUUGGGUUACGGGGGGAGUAUGGUCGCAAGGCUGAAACUUAAAGGAAUUGACGGAAGGGCACCACCAGGGGUGGAGCCUGCGGCUUAAUUUGACUCAACACGGGGAAACUUACCGGUUCCAGCCGUCAAAAGGAUUGACAGACUGAUAGAUCUUUCAUGAUAUGAUGUAUGGUGGUGCAUGGCCGUUCUUAGUUCGUGAGGUGACUUGUCAGGUUGAUUCCGGUAACGAACGAGACCAAAGUCUCCAUUUACAAUACGGAACAGUCGGUGACUACGGUUGCUGGCUCCUUUGAUGAGUGAGAGUUUGGGUAAAACUAAACUUGCAUUUGGCAAAUUAUUUCCGUAGUGCUGCUACCGGUCAAACGGAAGCAGUUGCAUGGAGAGACAACCGACACAAAAUCGGAGGAAGUUUGGCGAUAACAGGUCUGUGAUGCCCUUAGACGUACCGGGCUGCACGCGCGCUACAAUGACGGUGACAACGAGUUAUCUGGUCCGAAAGGAUUGGGAAAUCUGUCAAUCACCGUCGUGAUGGGGAUUGUCCUUUGUAAUUAGGACAUGAAAUAGGAAUCCCUUGUACGUGCACUUCAUCUAAAGUGCGUGGAAUGAGUCCCUGCCCUUUGUACACACCGCCCGUCGCUACUACCGAGUGAAUGGUGUCAUGAUGCGUUGGGACCGGACACCGUUCGGGGUUAUACCUGAAUGGUGCUGGAAUCAAUGUAGAAU